Molecule: small RNA, 601 nt
Filed under: Rattus norvegicus (Norway rat)
Lineage: Eukaryota; Metazoa; Chordata; Mammalia; Rodentia; Muridae
Description: uncharacterized LOC108353155
Source: RNAcentral
AACACUGAUCGAGAAAAGAUGAGGUCACAGGGUCAGUGUGAUAGUGACAAUCUGAAGGAACUGGCUGUGGGUGGAUCUGAGCCAGCGCUGACAGCCUGAGGAGCCAUAGAAGGGUCUGCUGGGCUGCUCUCUGCAUCCACACAGACUCAGAGCAGAUCGACUCCAAGUCUGCGACAGGCAACUGCUUCCUGCUGCUCACAGAGAAGCGUCCUCAUAAGAUGACAUCAGGGAAGCCCUGAACGUUGUUGGGUAGCAGAAUGAGAGCAAGGGUCAGAGGAAGACAAAGCUUGCCUCUGUAGCAAGUGGCAACCUGUGCCACUGCGCAAGCCCCUCCUGGUGUGCAGCACUGCUCCUCCGCUCCUCGUUGAGGGGGAGCCCAGCCUUGCUCUAGCUUGUUUCUCCCGCAGGGUGAGUGAUGUCACCACCAUUCUUGAAGACAGCUUUUUUUUUUUUUUGGUGCCGUGCUAGGUUCUGCCAACACAAGCAUCUGCCUGUGAUUUUAGUCAGUUUUGUGUUUCUGAAGAAAUCCCAAACCGAUCUUCUUCAUUUUCCAAUCUGAGUUUCUAAUUCAUGAUUUAAAAAACAAAAAUGUGUUCCCGGG